AGUCAAGGUCCGGAGUCGCUGGGUUAUCUGUCACAUACUCCCAUAGACAUCAACUUGACCUGGC
RNAcentral lists this small RNA (64 nucleotides) under Pristionchus pacificus. Its description in RNAcentral is "Nematode sRNA ceN72-3_ceN74-2". It matches the Rfam family "Nematode sRNA ceN72-3_ceN74-2". Lineage: Eukaryota; Metazoa; Nematoda; Chromadorea; Rhabditida; Neodiplogasteridae. The record is from Rfam by way of RNAcentral.